Molecule: non-coding RNA, 30 nt
Filed under: Mus musculus (house mouse)
Lineage: Eukaryota; Metazoa; Chordata; Mammalia; Rodentia; Muridae
Source: RNAcentral
UGUAUUGAUGCCUAUUUAAGGAGGAGGCCA